UACGGAGGGAGCUAGCGUUGUUCGGAAUUACUGGGCGUAAAGCGCACGUAGGCGGCUUUGUAAGUUAGAGGUGAAAGCCCGGGGCUCAACCCCGGAAUAGCCUUUAAGACUGCAUCGCUUGAAUCCGGGAGAGGUGAGUGGAAUUCCGAGUGUAGAGGUGAAAUUCGUAGAUAUUCGGAAGAACACCAGUGGCGAAGGCGACUUUCUGGACAUUAACUGACGCUGAGGCGCGAAAGCGUGGGGAGCAAACAGG
RNAcentral lists this ribosomal RNA (253 nucleotides) under uncultured bacterium. RNAcentral's name for it is "partial 16S ribosomal RNA". It matches the Rfam family "Bacterial small subunit ribosomal RNA", at positions 524 to 776 of the family's 1533-position model. The record is from RNAcentral.